This 868-nucleotide ribosomal RNA is filed under the name uncultured archaeon. Its description in RNAcentral is "bacterial SSU rRNA". It matches the Rfam family "Archaeal small subunit ribosomal RNA", at positions 1 to 878 of the family's 1478-position model. The record is from RNAcentral.
CUCCAGUUGAUCCUGCCGACCCUGACUGCUAUCGGAUUGGUACUAAGCCAUGCGAGUCAUUGUAGCAAUACAAGGCGGACGGCUCAGUAACACGUAGUCAACCUAACUCGUGGACGUGGAUAACCUCGGGAAACUGAGAAUAAACCACGAUAGAUCAUAGUGCCUGGAAUGGCUUAUGGUCCAAACAGUUUACUGCCAUGGGAUGGGACUGCGGCCUAUCAGCUUGUUGGUGAGGUAAUGGCCCACCAAGGCGAUUACAGGUACGGGCUCUGAGAGGAGAAGCCCGGAGAUGGGUACUGAGACACGGACCCAGGCCCUAUGGGGCGCAGCAGGCGAGAAACCUUAGCAAUGUGCGAAAGCACGACUGGGUCAGUCCGAGUGAUUCCUGAUAAAGGAGUCUUUUGCUUGUCCUAAAAGCACAGGUGAAUAAGGGGUGGGCAAGUCUGGUGUCAGCCGCCGCGGUAAUACCAGCACCUCGAGUGGUCAGGACGUUUAUUGGGCCUAAAGCAUCCGUAGCCGGCUCUGCAAGUCUUCGGUUAAAUCCACCUGCUCAACAGAUGGGCUGCUGGAGAUACUACAGAGCUAGGGAGUGGGAGAGGCAGACGGUAUUCAGUGGGUAGGGGUAAAAUCCUCUGAUCCAUUGAGGACCACCAGUGGCGAAGGCGGUCUGCCAGAACACGUUCGACGGUGAGGGAUGAAAGCUGGGGGAGCAAACCGGAUUAGAUACCCGGGUAGUCCCAGCUGUAAACGAUGCAAACUCGGUGAUGCAUUGGCUUAUGGCCAAUGCAGUGCCGCAGGGAAGCCGUUAAGUUUGCCGCCUGGGAAGUACGGACGCAAGUCUGAAACUUAAGGGAUUGGCGGGGGAGCA